This 465-nucleotide ribosomal RNA is filed under the name uncultured bacterium. RNAcentral describes it as "partial 16S ribosomal RNA". It matches the Rfam family "Bacterial small subunit ribosomal RNA", at positions 338 to 795 of the family's 1533-position model. The record is from RNAcentral.
CCUACGGGAGGCAGCAGUGGGGAAUAUUGCGCAAUGGGCGAAAGCCUGACGCAGCGACGCCGCGUGAGGGAUGAAGGUCUUCGGAUCGUAAACCUCUGUCAGCAGGGAAGAACGGUCACUGUGCUAAUCAGCAGUGAAUUGACGGUACCUGCAAAGGAAGCACCGGCGAACUCCGUGCCAGCAGCCGCGGUAAUACGGAGGGUGCGAGCGUUAAUCGGAAUGACUGGGCGUAAAGCGCGCGUAGGCGGUAUGUCAAGUCAAGGGUGAAAUCCCCGCGCUAAACGUGGGAACUGCCUUUGAAACUGGCAAACUGGAGUGUGGGAGAGGAUAGUGGAAUUCGAGGUGUAGGAGUGAAAUCCGUAGAUAUCUGGAGGAACAUCAGUGGCGAAGGCGACUAUCUGGCACAUAACUGACGCUGAGGAGCGAAAGCGUGGGUAGCAAACAGGAUUAGAUACCCUUGUAGUC